RNAcentral lists this long non-coding RNA (1182 nucleotides) under Homo sapiens (human). RNAcentral's name for it is "non-protein coding HOMER3-AS1:7". The record is from RNAcentral. Lineage: Eukaryota; Metazoa; Chordata; Mammalia; Primates; Hominidae.
ACUCACCAACUAGUCAUGCGCCUCGGAUGCCGCCGGCCACGGGGCUCCCGGAGGGGGGUCCGACACCGCCCGGUGCCCGGGAUCCCCAAUCUGGCCGGUGGAUGAGGCCCCAUCCCAUGCACCCGAGUGCGGGGGACGGGGGGGUUAAUAUUAAUUCAGGAUCCCAUCCCCACCCGAGGCAGGACACCCAGUGCACGCCCCAACUCCGGGACGCGGGCUCUGACCCUGGAACUUCCGAGAUUCCCGCGACGCCCCCUGUCUCUGGGUCCAGAACUUCGGGGGACACCUCUUCUGCCUCCUCCAACCCCAGGUCUGGGUGCUCCUCUAGGGCUGGCCCAUCCAUCCUGAAGCCCCAGUCUGACCCAGCACAAGAGCGACUGUUCAUCCCACAGGGGAAACUGAGGCACAGACUCGGUUUCCCUGGCUGCUUCUAACUUCACGAGGCAUCUGCACAAGGGAAGGAUUUGGCUCUGUUCUCAGGCCGGAAGCCACGAAAUGCUUGAACAUUGUGGGGAGCAAAGAAAAUACCGUCUGUUCUGUGCAAAAAAUGACUUUUCCUUAUUACCAACAAAAUAAUGGAAAAAAUAAAAAAGUAUCUGGGAAAGGUGCUGGCAUGGCCAAGGCUUCUGGAAGCUGCUUAGAGUUUGCCAAGUGCACAAGUGGGGCCCUGUGGCUAUUUUACAGGGGCGGCUGGGCGAGGGGCCCAGGCAGACUUUGCCCUUUGUGUGGGCAGAAAGCAACAGUGAAAGAGACAGUGAAGGGUUGAGUUGCUUUCCUGAACACCCUCUCCGGUCUCUGGGAGGGGCUGGGACAGGGCUGGCCUUGAGCAGCCCCAACCUGAAGCUGGACUAGCCAAGUCUACACUGAGGCACUGGCUUCCUCAGUGUGGGCCUCAGUUUUCUCACCUGGAAAAUGGGCCGAUGCUUGCAGGGCUUCUAGUAGAGGGAGAAACAUGAAGGAUUUAGUCAAUAUCAGCAGCUGUCCUCUGGGGUGCCUGCCAUUAGGUUCGUGGGCAAAGGCCCUGCCACUCUUUGCUGCAGCUGGGAAAACAGAGUCUGUGUCUCAGUUUCCCUGCUGGGAUGAAUAGUCACUCUUAUGCUGGGUCAGACUGAGGCUUCAGGAUGGAUGGGCCAGCCCUAGAGGAGCACCUAGACCUGGUCAUAUAAUAAACAGGUAACAUAA